Molecule: unclassified non-coding RNA, 861 nt
Filed under: Hevea brasiliensis (rubber tree)
Lineage: Eukaryota; Viridiplantae; Streptophyta; Magnoliopsida; Malpighiales; Euphorbiaceae
Source: RNAcentral
GCAAUGAACAAGCUGAAGAAAAUGGCACUGAAAGUUAUUGCAGAAAAUCUGCCUAAUGAAGAAAUCCAAGGACUCAAAUCGAUGUUUGCUAACAUUGACACUGACAAUAGUGGCACCAUCACCUAUGAUGAACUAAAAGCUGGAUUGGCUCGACUUGGAUCAAAACUUACAGAAGCUGAAGUCAAGCAGCUUAUGGAGGCUGCUGAUGUUGAUGGUAACGGGACAAUAGACUAUAUUGAAUUUAUCACCGCGACAAUGCAUAGGCACAGGCUAGAAAGAGACGAACAAAUUUACAAAGCCUUUCAGUAUUUUGACAAGGACAAAAGUGGGUAAGUCUGUUAGGGAUCUCUGAUAUCAUGCUUAUAAGAAAAACGAUGGACCUGAGUUUGCAAGCUUUGUAAUUCAAUUCCUUGGAGAUAAGAAGAUUUUGAAACUGCAUAUCUAGACGCGUAAUUAAAGACACAGCUAAAUCUAUUUCAAUCAUAUAGAAGAUGUAUUCAAAUUGAAUUUUUGAUGUCUUUGCAGGUUCAUCACAACAGAUGAGCUAGAAACAGCUAUGAAAGACUUUGGAAUGGGUGAUGAUGCAACAAUCAAAGAGAUAAUAUCUGAAGUUGACACAGAUAAUGUAAGUUGCUUAUUUGCUUUCAACCAGAAGUCUGAUUCUUCUCCAAGGAGUAUCUUACAUUACCAUAUACCUGUGGGCUAUGCAGGACGGUAGGAUUAACUACGAAGAGUUUUGUACAAUGAUGAGAACUGGAAACCAGCACCAGCCAAGGCUCUUCUAGAUGUACGUGAUUUGUUACUAUUUCUGCACGAAUGUCGUUUUAAGGAGGAUGUAAAAAAUCUGAAGCCACUUCAAUA